RNAcentral lists this ribosomal RNA (461 nucleotides) under uncultured bacterium. RNAcentral's name for it is "partial 16S ribosomal RNA". It matches the Rfam family "Bacterial small subunit ribosomal RNA", at positions 338 to 795 of the family's 1533-position model. The record is from RNAcentral.
CCUACGGGCAGCAGCAGUGAGGAAUAUUGGUCAAUGGGCGGAAGCCUGAACCAGCCAAGUCGCGUGAGGGAAUAAGGCCCUACGGGUCGUAAACCUCUUUUGCCGGGGAGCAAGGGCCGGGACGCGUCCCGGCCCGGAGAGUACCCGGAGAAAAAGCAUCGGCUAACUCCGUGCCAGCAGCCGCGGUAAUACGGAGGAUGCGAGCGUUAUCCGGAUUUAUUGGGUUUAACGGGUGCGUAGGCGGCCUUUUAAGUCAGCGGGGAAAUUCUGUGGCUCAACCAUAGAAUUGCCGUUGAAACUGGGAGGCUUGAGUAUGUUUGAGGCAUGCGGAAUGCGUGGUGUAGCGGUGAAAUGCUUAGAUAUCACGCAGAACCCCGAUUGCGAAGGCAGCCUGCCAAGCCAUGACUGACGCUGAUGCACGAAAGCGUGGGGAUCAAACAGGAUUAGAUACCCCAGUAGUC